AACGAACGCUGGCGGCAUGCCUAACACAUGCAAGUCGAACGAGGGCUUCGGCCUUAGUGGCGCACGGGUGAGUAACGCGUGGGAAACUGCCUAUUGGUGGGGAAUAACGACGGGAAACUGUCGCUAAUACCGCAUAAGCCCUUCGGGGGAAAGAUUUAUCGCCGAUAGAUGUGCCCGCGUCCGAUUAGCUAGUUGGUGAGGUAAUGGCUCACCAAGGCGACGAUCGGUAGCUGGUCUGAGAGGAUGAUCAGCCACACUGGGACUGGGACCCGGCCAAGACCCCUACGGGAGGCAGCAGUGGGAAAUAUUGGACAAGGGGCGAAAGCCUGAUCCAGAAAUGCCGCGUGAGUGAGGAAGGCCUUAGGGUUGUAAAGCUCUUUCGGGUGGGACGAUGAUGACGGUACCACCAGAAGAAGCCCCGGCUAACUUCGUGCCAGCAGCCGCCGUAA
RNAcentral lists this ribosomal RNA (449 nucleotides) under uncultured bacterium. RNAcentral describes it as "partial 16S ribosomal RNA". It matches the Rfam family "Bacterial small subunit ribosomal RNA", at positions 29 to 523 of the family's 1533-position model. The record is from RNAcentral.